UGAACGCUGGCGGCAUGCUUUACACAUGCAAGUCGAACGGCAGCACGGGGCAACCUGGCGGCGAGUGGCGAACGGGUGAGUAAUAUAUCGGAACGUACCCAGGAGUGGGGGAUAACGUAGCGAAAGUUACGCUAAUACCGCAUACGAUCCAAGGAUGAAAGCAGGGGACCGCAAGGCCUUGUGCUCCUGGAGCGGCCGAUAUCUGAUUAGCUAGUUGGUGGGGUAAAGGCUCACCAAGGCGACGAUCAGUAGCUGGUCUGAGAGGACGACCAGCCACACUGGAACUGAGACACGGUCCAGACUCCUACGGGAGGCAGCAGUGGGGAAUUUUGGACAAUGGGCGCAAGCCUGAUCCAGCAAUGCCGCGUGAGUGAAGAAGGCCUUCGGGUUGUAAAGCUCUUUUGUCAGGGAAGAAACGGGGGCGGCUAAUAUCCGCUCCUAAUGACGGUACCUGAAGAAUAAGCACCGGCUAACUACGUGCCAGCAGCCGCGGUAAUACGUAGGGUGCAAGCGUUAAUCGGAAUUACUGGGCGUAAAGCGUGCGCAGGCGGUUUUGUAAGUCUGAUGUGAAAUCCCCGGGCUCAACCUGGGAAUUGCAUUGGAGACUGCAAGGCUGGAAUCUGGCAGAGGGGGGUAGAAUUCCACGUGUAGCAGUGAAAUGCGUAGAGAUGUGGAGGAACACCGAUGGCGAAGGCAGCCCCCUGGGUCAAGAUUGACGCUCAUGCACGAAAGCGUGGGGAGCAAACAGGAUUAGAUACCCUGGUAGUCCACGCCCUAAACGAUGUCUACUAGUUGUCGGGUUUUAAUUAACUUGGUAACGCAGCUAACGCGUGAAGUAGACCGCCUGGGGAGUACGGUCGCAAGAUUAAAACUCAAAGGAAUUGACGGGGACCCGCACAAGCGGUGGAUGAUGUGGAUUAAUUCGAUGCAACGCGAAAAACCUUACCUACCCUUGACAUGUCAGGAACCCUCGAGAGAUUGAGGGGUGCCCGAAAGGGAACCUGAACACAGGUGCUGCAUGGCUGUCGUCAGCUCGUGUCGUGAGAUGUUGGGUUAAGUCCCGCAACGAGCGCAACCCUUGUCAUUAGUUGCUACGAAAGGGCACUCUAAUGAGACUGCCGGUGACAAACCGGAGGAAGGUGGGGAUGACGUCAAGUCCUCAUGGCCCUUAUGGGUAGGGCUUCACACGUCAUACAAUGGUACAUACAGAGGGCCGCCAACCCGCGAGGGGGAGCUAAUCCCAGAAAGUGUAUCGUAGUCCGGAUUGUAGUCUGCAACUCGACUACAUGAAGUUGGAAUCGCUAGUAAUCGCGGAUCAGCACGUCGCGGUGAAUACGUUCCCGGGUCUUGUACACACCGCCCGUCACACCAUGGGAGCGGGUUUUACCAGAAGUAGGUAGCUUAACCGUAAGGGGGGCGCUUACCACGGUAGGAUUCGUGACUGGGGUG
RNAcentral lists this ribosomal RNA (1449 nucleotides) under uncultured beta proteobacterium. RNAcentral describes it as "16S ribosomal RNA". It matches the Rfam family "Bacterial small subunit ribosomal RNA". Lineage: Bacteria; Pseudomonadati; Pseudomonadota; Betaproteobacteria. The record is from RNAcentral.